This 2662-nucleotide long non-coding RNA is filed under the name Lathyrus oleraceus (garden pea). RNAcentral's name for it is "Pisum sativum (pea) long non-coding RNA (PSAT_LNC036405)". Lineage: Eukaryota; Viridiplantae; Streptophyta; Magnoliopsida; Fabales; Fabaceae. The record is from RNAcentral.
UCAAUUUCAUACAUUCAUCUCAUAUAUUCAACCAUCCGUUUCGAUUUCAAAUUUCAUAUACAAACCGUUAAUCCCAUUUUCAUCACAUAACCAUACAUUCGACAUUCGAAACUGUUCCAUAAGCCAAAAUCUAAUUCCUAUAGCAUUUAACCAAAAUUCCAUUCAUAUUACAACUUAUACAGUAUAUUCAAAAUCUUUUUUUACCUCUUAAUUCUAUCUUCAUAAUAAAUACAUUUCCAAUCAUAAACCAUUACAAAAAGUAUUCAAAAGUUUGAAAGCAUCCACCAAUGCCAAGCCAAUUCCUAUCCAAUACGAGGCAAAGCACUCCAAAGACAGUUCAAGCACCCAUCAAUGCACUUUGAAAGCCAUUGAGUCCAGACUUUUCCAUGACAACAUAACACAACCUGCACAAAGGAAGAACUCAGAGUCAACAUGAUCUAACAAUCAACCUAUAUAUUGUAAUUCAAUCUUAGUUAACCUCCAUUCACCAUAACUGAGGUUUAAAAUUAGAACAAACUUUUCGAACCGACUAACAACAUAUCACAGCAGUCCAUAAUUCAGGUACAAUGGCUAUAACAGAAAAUCAGUUAACAAAGAAUUUAACUUCUAACAUUAAAAUUCCAACUGUUUUUGUUUUUCAAGUGCAACAGUAUAACCUAACAUAUUUCGUCUAACCUACCGACACUUCAAGCCAUGUUAUCAUAACAACAAUCAUGUAUCGUACACAUUACCUAAUUGUUAACCGUCCACAAUAAACCAUUGCUUUCAUCAAUUCACGAUAAACCCACCAUGUAACCUUGACAAGCGAACCUGCAGCUUCACUCCAACACCUAUAACCAAUUUGAAAUAGGAAUUCAUGAGUAAGGGAAAUAGAGUAUAAGUGAAAAUGGAAAAUUCAGCAAAACGCCAACCGAAACCGUAUAACAAAACCAUUAGUCAUAUGCAACUAGUACACCAAAACAAUCACAUUUCAAUUUGAAGUAUUAGCUUACACUGUCAGCCUGCGUAAUUCACGAAACCACAGCAACGCAAACACACAUCCGAACCAUGGAGGAGCAGGGCAUCACCGAGUACAGGAAUAUGUUUCCAAGCAAUUCCAAUGAAAUAAAACCAUCAAUCCUGCACAUUUACCAAAUAGAGUAAUAAAACAAAAGGAAAGGUAACAUUGAGUUCAUAACCUAGUAGAGCUAACAUUGCAACAGACCUAACAUUCAUAAAAUCUACACAAUAAUCAAGCAUCUGUAUUAAUAACCCAUUCCAUCUAACAGUGAACUUCAAAAUUGAUAUUACACUCACAAAAACCAAUCUAAGCGUUUUUUCCAUCUAACAAGCUAACAUCUUGUUAACUUCAUGUUGUACAACAGGGAAACAACUCUACUGGUAACUGAAUCUCCAACUGCAUAUAACUAAAAACGGAAUUCUAACAGAAUUCCAACUAACUUCCUAACCAACUUUCUAACCUCUCAAAACUAACCUGUAACAGAAUUGAAAACUAAAAACAUUCCUCCCAACUGCUUUAUAACAGAACCUCCUUUAACCUCAAUAAGUUCCCAAGAGGAAAAAUCCAUCGCCAGUCUCUAUAUAACCAAAGAGAGAAACCUACAACUUUUUUUUCACGAGAACUGAAUUUACAACCACCAAUUGAAUCCUCUUCUCCCACCAUAUUCCAUCCAUACAACCAACUCCAAUAACUUCACCCUCAACCUUUCAACAUAACCCUCACCCUCGUGCCUCCACAAAACCAACUCUCGCACAACCUCACGAAACAGAAAAACAACGCAAGAAGAAGGAGAGAAGGGAAACAGAAAACGAAAAUUCACAGAAGAAGAACAGAACAGAAGCGAAGCCACGAAAAGAGGUAAUAUAUAAAGGAAGAAGGAAAAAUGUACCAGCGAAAAGGGGGAGCUGCAAACAGAGUCCAUAGCAAGGAAGAGCAAAACCAACAACGCACUCUUCAAUUCAUUGUCACCCUUCGAGGAAUUGGAAACUCAAUGAUCUUCACCUUCCUUCUUUAAACUCUUCGUCACGCACGCAGUUGAAUAACAACAUUGAUUCACUACACAGUGAUAAUAAGGCGACAAGAUUAAUAAGAGAAAUAAAAAUGGUGGGAUAAUCGAAAUAUGAAGGUUGAAGAAUGAAUCACCGGGCGCGACGAACCCGGUACGUUAUCCCUUUCUUCCUUCUUGUUCUUCCUGAUGCAAAUUCAAACUCGGAUUCAAGAUUCAUGGAUGAUUCCUAAUGGAUCGUGUCAAAUCUCUCGAUGAGCGGCGAAGGCGUCACGGCGCCACGGUCGCUAGGAUGGAAUUGUUCGGCAACCAUUUUCUCCUGUCCGCGGGUUCUAGAGAAUAUGUGAGGUCCGAAUAUGGAUAUGCUUGGUGGACCGAUUGUCUCUUUGGAAUUGGUCCUUUUGCCCAAAGAACUUCAUGGUCCAACCAAUUGUUUUUCCAACCCCUCAAAUUAGUCUUCACCCCAUGGCCAAAUGGAUGUUCAUGUUAAUUUCUCUAUUAAUCUCCUCUUAAUUCUUAUUUAACUUAUGUGAAUUUUGAUUGUUUGAUUAACUUCUGAUAUCUUUGUUAUUGUUAGAAUUAAGAUUUUCAAGAUUUUGGUUAUUUAAUUCAGUCUUUGAAAUAUUAGGUUAAUUAGAUUAAUUGGUAAUUAGGAG